This is a non-coding RNA of Arachis ipaensis, 530 nucleotides long. NCBI's taxonomy places the organism in Eukaryota, Viridiplantae, Streptophyta, Magnoliopsida, Fabales, Fabaceae. The record is from RefSeq and is a predicted model, not a curated record.
UCUGAAUUUUUUUGGGAAAUGACUCUCCAGGGUGUGUUUAGAACACAGAAAGAGGCAAUUGAUUUGAUUUGUUCUUUCUGUGUUUCCUGUCCUGCUUUUGCUCUCUGCUUCUGUCCAUGAAGACACCGCCUUUAGGUUCCAAAAAUAGCUCCUUAUGGUGCUCUAGUUCAGUGUUGUGUGCAUUUGUCCCAAAACACUGUCGGCUGUGAAGAUUGUAUCUUUAUCUUCUCCAAUGUGUGAACAAGAGAGCAAAGUGGGAGUUUCAGUUCCCUUUGAUCACAUAAACACAAUUUGCCAUUUCCGUUCUGGCAAAACGGUCUCCCAUUCUGACAAAUUGCCAUCCAUGGUCUCACAAAUUGUCAUCACCGUUUUGUUCAUAACUAUAUAAUCUCGGUUAGAAGUUUAGUUACAAGAAACUGACUACUCACAUGAAACAUAUAAAAAUAAUACUUAAGAAUCAUUAGAUCGUUAAACAUAUUUAAGUAAAUUGUUUAAUAUAAUAUAUGUCGAUAUCUUAUCUAUCAUAUUUU